UCCUCUUUACAGAGGCAGUUUGUUCCGAGUCCCCGGCAUUAUCCGCUGGUAACAGAACAUGAGGGUUGCGCUCGUUGCGGGACUUAACCCAACAUUUCACAACACGAGCUGACGACAGCCUUGCACCACCUGUGCUGCACCCUCGAAGGCGACCGCUUUUGGGCGGCUUGCAGCAGCAUGUCAAGCCCUGGUAAGGUUCUUCGCGUUGCAUCGAAUUAAGCCAUAUGCUCCACCGCUUGUGCGGGCCCCCGCCAAUUCCUUUGAGUUUCAACCUUGCGGCCGUAGUCCCCAGGCGGUUCACUUAAUGCGUUAGCUGCGGCACCGAGGGAGAACCCCCAACACCUAGUGAACAUCGUUUACGGCAUGGACUAC
RNAcentral lists this unclassified non-coding RNA (372 nucleotides) under uncultured bacterium. RNAcentral describes it as "contains 16S-23S intergenic spacer region". The record is from RNAcentral.